Molecule: RNA transcript, 1701 nt
Organism: Ricinus communis (castor bean)
Lineage: Eukaryota; Viridiplantae; Streptophyta; Magnoliopsida; Malpighiales; Euphorbiaceae
Gene name: F-box/FBD/LRR-repeat protein At1g13570
Exons: 4
Source: RefSeq, a predicted model, not a curated record
AAACGGGAGGAAAUAAGUGAAUUUCAGAUUCCUUUCUUCUCUUUUUUAACAACUAAAAUAGAGAAAUUAUAAAAAAUAAAUAAAAAAAUCUAAAAUAGAGAAAAUGAGAUAAAACCUCACUCUUAUUUGUCUGUCUUUUCUCUUCCCUUCCCUCUAACCAACUAAAAGGCAAGAAAAAAAUUGAAUUGAAUUAGACACUUCUCUUUAGAAAUAGAAAGAAUCAGAGUUGAACCAAGAAGGAGAACCUUAUAUUAUGGCAUUAAUCAGAAGACAUAAUCAUUGUGGAACCAUGGAAGAUGAUAUUAUCAGCCAUCUAUCGGACAAUGUGGUGGACAACAUUCUUAUGUUCUUACCAUUGCGAGAUGCUGUAAGAACAAGUGCUUUGUCACAGAAAUGGAGGCACAACUGGGAAACUCUUCCACAACUUGUGUUCGACAGUGAUUUUGAGGAGAGUCUAAAACAAUAUCCAGCAAAGAAUGAGCUUCUCUUCACUAUCUAUCAAAUUCUGUUACUCCAUCGUGGUCCAAUACUUAAAUUUACUCUCUCCAUUUCAGGAUCAAAGAGCUUCUGUGCAAUUGAUCCAAUUGUAUGGUUGCUUUCGAGGAAUGGCAUCCAGAAUUUACUCUUAGCAUUAAAAGGAAUGAAAAAUAUAAAAUGCCAUCGUGUCUUUUUUCGUGCAAGAACUAAGACAUUUGCAACUGUCUUCUUGUUUUUUCAACCCUCCUGCUACUUUCGAAGGAUUUAAUAGGCUAACCAGUAUUAACUUUAAGAAUGUCACCUUUGGUGAUGAUGUUCAAAACUUUAUCUUGAAAUGCCCAUUGGUGGAAAAUUUAAUUAUGCAAAACAAUAGGAACAUUGACCAUCUUGACAUAUAUGCUCCUAAUCUCAAGGUCCUACACAUUAAGGUGUUUCAAUUCUAUCUAUUUCAGAAAUACUCCACUUCUUAUGACAGCUUAAAUCAGAGGGCAUGGGAAUCCGGAGGUGCAGAAUGGAAGAAAAAUCAACAUGCUUGAGGUUUUUGGUUGUCUACCCAGCAUAGAGUACCUGCAUGUAGAUUAUUAUUUAUUGAUGAUUUUGGCUGCAGGGGAUAUUCCGGAAAGGUUUCUAACUCCUUUCAAUCUCCUAAAAACUCUUAUAUUACGUGAAAUAUCGUUAGAUGAGGUGGCUGAAUUUUCACUUGCUCUCUGCUUGAUUAAGAGCUCUCCUCACCUGCAAAAACUUGAAAUCAGUGUAGAUGAAUGUCCAAAUAUUAACUCUGAUGGUGCUGUAGAAUUUCUGGCGGUUCAAAACAGAUCAGACAUUUCUUUGGAUAAAGUUCAAGAGGUAGAAAUGCUAGAUUUAACAGGCAGGGGGCUUCAGAUGGGGGUUUGUUAAGCUUCUGCUAGCCAAAUCACCCAUGUUAGAGAGAAUGCACGUUCAUCCUUUGCAGGGCAUAAGCACCAAUGAAGAACUAAGGCUUUUGACAGAGAUUACUCGUUUUUGCUGGCCAUCAGCAGUAGCAGAAAUCAUAUACUCUGGCUUAAAUCAUGUGAAUUCUUAGUGUGUUAGUCUGUUUAUGUAUGGAAGAAUAUGAUAUUUAACCGGCCUGAUUGGAAUUAAUUUGUGGUUGUUUAUUUUGAUUUUUUUUAUAAUUAAGAUAUUUAUUCUCGUACAUGUAAAGAAUGUGAAGUAAUUUAACUCUUUCAAUUAUUUUGAGGAGAA